This 3193-nucleotide long non-coding RNA is filed under the name Homo sapiens (human). RNAcentral describes it as "HSALNT0129624". The record is from RNAcentral. Lineage: Eukaryota; Metazoa; Chordata; Mammalia; Primates; Hominidae.
CCCUUAGAUCAUUUUGGAUGGCUCUUUCUCCAGUCUCAAGUAGUUUCUUCACAUACGUAAACUGCUCAGUACUUUAUUGAAUACUUAAGAGGAAGUAGCUGCAGAUUUGUGGGAUUACUUUUCUGUAUGGUUCUCCCCUCUGUGAUACUCAUCUCUUGUAAGCUCUAGCUGCCUCUAUUUCCCAAACUUUCAGCUCUGUCUCAACUCAGGAACUUCUUAGGAAUUCCUAAAUUAGCACUCCCUGAAUCACUAUCUGGAAACUCUCUGAAGUCUAUAAAAUGAAGAGAUUAAAGGGCUUAUAUCAUUUGCUUCCAUCUCUCAGGAAUCACUGCCUUUUUUGCCCCCGCCAAGGUCCUGUGUCUUAACAAUCAUUGUUUUAUAUAUACAUGUUUUAGGUUUUUUUAAAAAAAAUCUGGUGGGAGGGCGAAUCUGGCCUGUUAGUCCAUUUUGGAAGCAGAAGUCUUAAUUUUUUUUUAAAUUCCUACCUUAUCAGGGACCCCAUUUAGUCUCUGCCUGCUCUAAUAGUCAACUCUUUCUUUACCUCCUGAUUUUGAAAGUCUAACUUAACUUUAGUUAAAAAUAGCAUUCACACCAACUACUUAUAGGAUCCAGAAAAAAUAAACAAAUGAACUACAUUUCUUCAUUUUUAUUCUGUACAUUUCCACACAAUUCACAAUACAGAAAAAGUGUCCAAAAAGUAACUGUAACUAGUCAAUUUCUUUUUCAGAGAUUAGUUCAGUCUCCCAAAUUAACUCCAUUGAAAAUCUCUGUAGUGCAACACAGUGAUCAAGAUACUUUAUAUAAAUAGGAAAUGCAAGAAAAUUAGGGAAAAAUACUUUAUGACUUUGUUACAAAAAACUUCAUUCUUCCCUUUCCCAUCCCACCCCCCCCCCCCCACCCACCCUCCCUCCACUUCGUAUUAUCUGAAUCCUCCUUUACCUGGAAAUAAAACUUUAAUCUUUCUACUGCCACAGCUGCUACUUGUUUAUGGAUUCCACCUGCCAGCUGGCAGCUUUGCAAAAGCAUGGCUCUGGGAUGUGAUAGGGCAGAAUCAGAAAUCAUGAAAAAGCCCUUUAUAAUGUGACUGCAACUCUUCAUACAGAUGUAGCCUUUGCGAGUGGAAUACCCACAGCCAAGGGUACCCUGGAUGCCUGGGAACGUUUUCCCACUCAGAAAUCAAAUUAAAUCAAAUAUAUUCAUUCUUUUAGAACUGAGAUUGUCCUCUAUUCCUUAGUUUUUCACAAGAAUGGUUUUCCUCAGUUUCAGUCAGUGGUGGUCUGUAUAAUAUUCAGAUUCAUGGUUGCCCACUUAACUAUUGGUAAUUUUAAAAAACAGCCAAGCUAACCUUUGCUGAGACUAUUUUGGCCCCUGACUUUUCAAAGAUGUGUUUUGCAAAAUAUUCUGUUGUGUUAGAAUAUUUUGUCUAUGAGAGUUCUAAAUCUCCUUCCCCAGGAUGGCAAGAAUCCAAACUUUCCCAACUUAUAAUCGGUAAGUCAGGGAGAGCAUCAAAGUUCUACUUGCAUUGGAAAUUAUGCUUGUAUGUAAUUAGAGUCUCAAUCCAACCAAUGAUGGGUGGGGAGAGUGGCGAAUAAAAAUUCUUUGAUCUCCAGAAGAUCAGGAGAUCAGGAGCCAUUUGGUUGCAUAUAGAAGGUACAACAAAUAUCAAGGCUAGAUGGUAUCUUAAAAGUGAUAAAUCUCACCAACACCUAUAAAUUUGAAAUUACCUAUAAAUUUGAAACAAAAAAUAGGGUAAACUGACAGGACUAUCCUAUCUGUAUGUGUGUGUUUUAUAAGUGAAGAGUAAAGACAAUUUGUAAACAUAUAUCUAUCAUUUUUAAGAGGAAAAUGUAUAUUUAAACCCAAAAUAACAAGGUCACAGUCUCUGAAUUUUUAAGUGAAUAUAUUGAGAUUUGUGGGAAAAAACCCUAAAUAUUCCUUAUUUUUUUCAAACUUUAUCAGGGACCAGAACAAGUUUGUGGACAGGCAUAAUGUAUUAUAAGAGGUUGGACAAACUCCUUCCAAAAACCACCUCGUCCUUUGGAAAGCUCCAUUAAAAAGUUCUUCUAUUAGCUGACCCUACUUCCCCCAAGUUCCACACACAAUCUAAUUCUUCUAUGCUGCAUAAACUGAAAUUUUCACAACUAAUACCCCUUGAAGCCACUUUGAACAAAUUUAAUCUUUCUGUAUGUUUCCUGAGUUUGAUUUUCAAUAUCUGCUAACACUAUCAGUUGUUUGAGAUUACCAUGAGAAUUUGUGUUACUACUAGGGUCUUCUUAUUGUACUACUUUUGAGAAUCUUUUUUCCUUUCCUCACAACUCUGCCCCUCUUUUAUGCCCCCAAACCAGAGGCAAGAAGUAGAACAAGAAAGAAGGUGGAGUAGAAGCAGGUCUUUUCUGCAAGACUCUGGAUAUGGAUUCAUUUCUUAAAAUUACCUCAAGUGACUUCCUCCCUCACCCAGUCAACCUGAAAUCUAGGAACUCAAGCUGUAUUACAGAAUUAAGGGAUGAUGGGCAAUUAAAACUGUAAUCCACCUAGACAGAAAUAUGACAGAAACAUUAGUCUACUGAUAUGGGGUUAAGUCUUGUUUCAUGACACAAAGUUAUAGAAACAUAGGUGUGUUUGUGUAAGCAAGGCAACUUUUUAGGGUCAUGAAAUCCCCGCUGCUAAGUGAUUUGGGAUAUAUUUGCAAUGAUGGAAGCUUUUUUAAAAAAUGCCUUCAUUGCUAUCUAGUUGGCAGGAACCUGGGGGAAAAAAAUAGGCUCAAAUUGAGUUCUGUUCCAGUCUAAAAUUAUAGACAUUUAAACCAAGAAAAUCUCACAGAGUUUUUCUAGUCCAAGAUCUCUCACAAUUAAAGAUAUGCCUUUGAUCUCUGAGUUAGUUGUUCAAUCUUCACUUAACUACUAGAAGAAACAGUGAUAACAACUUCACUGUUUUUCAGAAAGCCCAAACUGUUUUUCUGGAUGCAAUGUUUAGGAAAAAUAAAUCCUUAUAAGUAAUAAAGCUAACUCCUUUUCAUGUGUUACUGCUCUUUUCUUUCCUUAUUUUAUUCUACAAAUCAUCUUCCCUGCAGAAUUUGAAACUAACAGUCCUACUUAACCUAACUCCUCUACAUAUUCUUAUUCCUAAUCCAAUUUUGUCUUCUUUCCAGAUCAAACAUCCUCCUUCUACAUAUUCACCAAUCUGCCCAUAAAUG